Molecule: long non-coding RNA, 13777 nt
Filed under: Nicotiana tabacum (common tobacco)
Lineage: Eukaryota; Viridiplantae; Streptophyta; Magnoliopsida; Solanales; Solanaceae
Description: long non-coding RNA (NTAB_LNC004905)
Source: RNAcentral
GCAUAUUAAUUAACCCCCACCAACCCCCUCCCCCCUCUCUCUCGUAUUUUCCCCCAAAAUGAAACCCUAUUCUCUCUAUGUGUUUUUUAAUCUGAAAGCAUAUGAAGUCCUUAACAAUCAACUCUUUCAAAUUUAUGUCUUAAAGUCUGAAGACUCACGUGAUAUCUAUUUGAACUGGGUGAAGACUCACAAACUAACAAUAACAAUGGUUAUCAAUUUGAACAGGUUUGUCACUUUUCUUCUCUUUUUGGUUGAAGACUAAAAUUUUUUUUAGUGAAUAUUGAUAGCAGAGAAUGAUGAUAUUUUGUACGAAUUAUGCUGAAUAUUUAUUAUUGCGGUGUAGGAUUUAAAGUGGGAGUAUCGAGAUGUGAGGAUGGCGGUUAUGGUUAGGGUUAAAGAUUGGGUGUAGAGCAAGGAGGAUGAGGGAAUAAACGAAAUCUCCCUUUAGUUGUUUUGUUUGUGAGAAGAAAGAAAUGUAGAUAACAGAAGUCUUUCUCUGGUUAGAUGUCCCUUUGAAUGCAACUGUAAAUACUUGUAUUUUUGGGAUUGUGAGCACUUUCUCAAAAAAAUGAAAAUAAAUACUGAAAGUUGAUUAAAUUAAUUGUUAUAUAGUCUAAAAAGUUUGUCUUUUUAUUAUUCCAAAGUUAAAAAGAACAAAAGAAAAAAAUCUUUGACCCAAAUAUGACGUGUUGUGUUAGGAAAGGAAAGGAGAUUGUAGUAUGCAAUGUUGUGGUGUCACUUGCUGAAGUUUUCUCACUCUGUUCCUAGAUUUUUCUAGUGAGGUGGGAUUAAAAUUCAUUUGGUAUCAAAAUAUGACUAGGUUGUUUGGAUUGGAUCUACUUAUAAGAAAAGUUAUUUGCUUGAAUGCAUGAAACCUCAUUAAACAACGUAAAAGUCCAUCUCUUAUGAAUAAAAUGCCUUUGAUGAAGCCUCAUCUAUUUAAAUUAUCCUCUAAGGUGGAGUUUGUUACAAAGAAAGCUGUCUAUUGGUGAUAAGAUCAAAUCCUUUGGAUUUUAUUUUGUCUUCUAAUUAUGUGGUGUUAGAUCUUGUGAAUAAACUAUGGAUCAUAUAUUUUGAGGUUGUACUAUUAGUGCUUCAAUAUUGCUGAAAUUAUGGAUCAUCUAUUUUUAUGCUAGUUGUUAAAGCAGUUGAUGCUAGAUGUGUGAAGCUUAACGGCGAAAUACGAACUAGAGUAGAGUUAUAAUUGUUUACCGUGAAAAUGGUAAUGUCAAUUAAAUUUGUAAAAUGGGAUUCUAAAAAUACGUGAUUUAUUUUUAUGAUAGUUGUUAGAGUAGUUGAUGCUAAGAGUAUGAAGUUUUGACGAUGAGGUACGAGCUAAAACGGGAUAGUAAUCAAACCGAGGGGCUUGUUGCCCGAGAUUCGGAUGGGCCGAUGAAGGACCUCAGGGUCGAUAUCUGGCUCGAGCUCGAUCUAUCGAGGGUAAUCGGGAAGGGAUAAUAGUUAAAAUAUGAUCAAAUGAGGCUCUUUAUGGGCAAGACCAAACAAUAAGCGAAGAAUAAGUAUGAAAGCAAUAAAUGCAAAGAGUAGCCUCGAGUGAGUAAGAGCGAACAAGUUAGAGAGAAGAAAGAGAGAGAGAGAUAUUAUUGAUCUUCUGUAUGAUAGUUGGAGUAACAGCAGCCCCUUACAAAGUAGCGUGGGUUCCCUUUAUAUAGGAGGGGGAAUCCAGUCAUAGUACAACAUACAUUAAUUGUAAGAGCAUGGAGAUGGGACGGCUAGACGUAACGCCUCGACACAGGCUCUGGGUAGGCUGGCUCUAUCAGACUUAGCCGUGUGCCUAGGGAACUCCCCUUUUUGUUCCAGCCUCGAUCUUCGUCUUCUUUGAGUCGAGCCUCAAUGAGCCCCGAAGGAGAGGACUCGGUCGCAACUCCACGUUCUCGGGGUCUCGAGGUAUUCUUCCGAAGUGGCUUGAUAGCGAGAAAUUAAGCCCUCUAAUUUUUUCACAUAUAAAUAAUCUCCGCGUUUCCCAGAACGAAGCGAUGGGAAAUGAUUUUGACACCUAACUCCACAAGUUUCUCGCGGUGAUGUCAUACCAAUGAUGCAACCUGUAGUGCAAGCAUUUGCGACAACCGAGAUAUCCCACGGACUUGUGUAUUUGACACCAUUCAAUGCACUGUCGAUUUCCAUUAUUCAAGAUGAAUGUACCACCAUCGAUUCGGUUCUUCAUGAACGCAGUAAUUGCGUCCGUUGGUCAAUCUUCCAAAGCCUCAAUGACUGUGUAGUUACCCCCUAUAAAUGAGGGUGCUUUGGCAUAGUUUUUAUAUCCAAGAUGCCUUCAUCUGCUCAUUUGCCCAUUUCUUCUUAUCAUCUUCGUCUAUCUUUGAACAUCAUGUUUGGGACUCGUGGCCUCAAGGCCGUUCGGCAGAGCUCCCGCAGGCUGUGUUGCGGCCUCUUGCCGGGGCUUCCCUUUAUCGAGCACGACCAUGCCAUCCUGUUGCUGCUGUGGUUGUUGUUACGUCUGUUGUUGUUGUCCUUGUUUGCUUGAGAUGAUGACAUAUGGGGGUCAAAUUUCGUUGCUCGCGAAAAGCUCUUCGGAUUAUAUAUCGCUGCUCAAAAAGGGGCUCGGAUUGUACACCACUGCUCACCUUCAUACCCUGGCUCGACGUGGUGCUCUGCCUCAAGCUGGUAGCUUGCACGGCUAAAUGUUCCAAGAAGUGGACUCUAAGUAGCCGUGCAAGCGAGGCCGAGGCUCGCCCGGUCCGCUAUUUCUCUGAGGUUCUCUUGGCCAGCGAGGGUCCUCGACCUUCGGAGAGCUAUGGCAUUUUUUCAUCCCUCCCUGCUUCUCGCCCUAUCCUUUGGGGAUAUCAGUAUGGAAGGCCGAGAUGAGGCUUCUGAGGAUGCGUGCCCGGAGGCGCUUGUUGCAGGAGGCAGACCUUCGAAAGUAGACCAGUCUCUAGGCUUUUAUAAUCAUAUGAGAGGGCCGCUCGAGGGCUGUGCUACAUGAAUAUUCAUGAAUAUAAAGAUACUUCCUUGAUUCCUGUUUUUGAUACAUGCCUUAUUGUUGUAUGUUCUUGUGCGCUUCGAGGUUUUUGAACGUUUUCCUUUGUUGUCGACCGCUAAUAUCUAACUUGGAUGCGAGUAUUCUUUUCGAUCUUCUACCGAUUGGCAUGGCUCUUUUUCGAGCCCAUUAUCAUACAUCGGACCAAGACUAAAUUGGUCCGAUGGAUUCGGGCCGUCAGGCCCUUCAAGUUGCAUGGAGAUAGUACGCUAAGUUUCGAAGUUUUUGAGAACGGUAUCCUGAGCGAAGGUCAGCUUCGGGUACCUUGGGGGAUACUUUGAACUUGAUGUAGAUAGCCUUUUAAAGCGUAGUGGAUAGACUUCCAUUGAGGGGUUGCCUAUACUUAGGCGAUGCCUUGAUCCUUCCUUGAGUCUUCAUGGGCGGAGCUUUAGGUGCUUACUUUUCGUUUUAGAAAGGAAAACCACGAGAUCGGGUACCACCUCGAGUUCUAUGAUGGCGCUGAAGGCUUUCCGAAGCCUGGCUUCUUUUUGCUGAAGGUCCUCGAGGUCGGGCACCACCUCGGGGCUGGAGAUGAUAUAUUUGGCUCCUUGAAGCCUACCUUCUUGUCGAUGAAGGUCUCGGAAGUCGGGUACCACCCCAGGAUCUGUACCGAGGCCGUUGGCCUCCCGGGGCUUACUAUAGAUAGGCGAAUUGUUGUUGUUUCCCACAUAUAUGUGGGGCGGCUUUUGCUUCUUUGGAAGAUAUCAUUAUUUUAGAUAUCUAUCCUUCUGCCUUGGCAUCGGGUCCUUCGUUUCUUCAGGCGCAAAAAGUGUUGGCGCAUGUCCUUACUUUAGUCAGUCAAUUCUACCAUAGCUAUGGCAGCUACUUCGGGGCUGGCCCGGCAGGGAGGGGAGAGUUCCACUCCUAGUGUUCAGGAUCUACGGGAGUUCACUCUAAAGAUUAUGUCUUUGAUAAUAUAGGAACAUCUGGAGACGGUAAGGAGAUACUGCGGAUGGGGCGAGGGGAUAGCGCUGCAGGUGCUUUCCCCCGAUGAGAGUAUUACGGACUCUGCUGAUGGAUUCUUGAAUGUAUACGUAUACAUUUUUGCAUUAGGCCCCCUUAAUAGGGUCGUGCUUGAUUUCUGCCUGAAGUAUCGGGUUACUUUGGCGUAGAUACAUCCGUCCUGGUGAGUGGUACUGAUGAUGAGGUUCUUUGCGGAGAAGGCUGGGCUUUAAUUCACGUGUAGCCACCUUGUCAGGCUGUACUGGCCCUUUCAUCAUCGAGGCAUGUUAACCUUGCGAUGCUGCUCGUCCACGCCCUUUGUUGUCAAUGAUGAGGAAGAUGAGGAUCAAGAGUGGUCAGGCGAUUCGUCCGGGCUCGGACGACUGACAUCAUCCCCGUGGAGCUCAUGCCAUUUCCCGAGGGAUGGAAUUACGCGCGUGAGUGGAGUGUCUCGUGCUUUUUUAGAUUUGCUUAUAGCAAAAACCAGUUGAGUAAUUGUGUGUCCUCCUCUUCUAUAGCAACUUCAUGGACGCCAGGUGAAGUUCCCGAUCUGCCCGGUUGGGUCUGGAAGUUGGUGACCCAUUCAACUUGCGACGAGCGUAGGUGGCGAGUUGUGUCCCGUGGCAGAUGGGAAGCGAAAUAUCAAGGUAUGCGCAUAGGCUGCUUUCACCUUGGUCUACGUAUAUUCGAAAUGACAUUUUCCCCUUUCUACUGGCUUUGCCGUCGUAGGUAUCGGGUGUUCCUCCGGAGAGGGGGAGGAGUCAUCGGCCUCCGAGCCAAGGGACGAUGGAGGUGAAGGGGACUUACACUCGCAGCGCGAUGGAGCUUUUAGUGGGGCUAAACGAGCCUAUGUCUUCGAGGAGAGGACAUCGCCCGAGCCUGCUGUUCCCAGAGCAUUUGGUUCCGGAACGGUAGUUCCUCCGAGUGAAUAUGCCUCGACCGAGGUUGGUUCUUCUAGGGCCGAAGGGGCUGGACCAACAGGAGUGUGCUCGGCCUUCGAGGAAGUCUGUCGGCUUCACUUCAUGGUGAGUUUCGGUGAAGACCUUCUGUAUUUUGCGUUUUCCUUUCUUUAUCGAGUUUUUCUUUUGCAGGCCUUUGAUAGGCUUAGGUCUGAUCUGCUCCGUCAUGGGGCUAGGCUUCGGAAAGCUCUGGAUGAGGGUGAGUCCCUUAGGCUCCUUAGCGAGGAGAAGGAGGUUGAGUCGAUGCACUGGCGAUAUAAGGCGUUCUGAAGCUCGAAUUACGAGAUCUAUUUGAUGGAGCAGGUAACCUUUCGUAGUAUGUGUUUCGCCCUUUUGACCUUUAAGGUUAAUCCUUUUGCCUAUCUUAGUUGCAAAAAAAGAUGGAGGCUUUGGAGUACCUUAGGGGCGAAGCUGACUGAGUUAGGAGUGCUUGUGGUGAACUGAGGGCUCAGGUGUAGGCUCAAGCUUUAGAAGAAAAGGGUGCCUUGGCUAAAGUUCCCGCUUUCGAUGCCCAACUCCGUUUGGCUCGUGACAACGCUUCAGUUUAGUUGGAUAUGAUCGCGAGGCUCGAGUCUGAUAUCUCGACGGUCAGGGAUGAGAUAAUUGAUGCUCGGGCUGAAGCAGCAUUGAGUUGGGAUAAGGCUGAUCAGGAGAUGGCGAUUCAUUUGAAGGACGGUACUGAUGCCCAUGCCGAGUUGAGACGGGACCUUGAUCGUGAAAAGAGGAUCGAGGAAUAUGUUUGUUGCAGAUCCCGGAGAGAGGUACUCCAAGAGAUCAGCGCUAGGGGUUUCGUUCUCUCAGAGGAGUUGGCUCGAGCGAGGGAGGACGAGCGGGAUGCUCGGUUACUUCUUGCCGACGUCACAGAGAGCAAAGCUGGGGCUGGUAGGCCGUAGCUUUCUUGGAGCAGAACGUAGAUUUCGUCACUUUUCCAUUUUGUAUUUGACAUUCACAGAGCAUGUUUGUAAAUGGAGAGCGCACCUUUUGCGUAUGUAAAUAAAAGAAACUUGAAGCUUUAUCUUUUUUGUAUCUCUUUCUGCAUUGCUUUUGACCAGGCGGGCUGGUUUCGGUGUUUAGCGGGAGCCCUAUGGAUCCGAAACUUAUUAGACAGGCCCGAAGACUCUUUCAUGCUUGGUCAAGUGCGAUUUUUGACGUGAGUAGGCAUUAGAGCUUUCGUGCUUUGCCAGUUGUUUUGGGCUUAGUGUCCGAGUCAGGCUUUGACUCGAGCUUAUCUGACCUUCAAUCUCUUGUGCCUGCACGGGCGGGUGAUGAUGGUUCUUAUUCCUUGCCCUUGUGCAUUUGUAUUUUAACUAUUUUGGGUUCAGUCUCUAAGUCGUGUUGCGACUCGAGCUUAAUUGACCCUCAAAUUUUUUGUGCCUGCAUGGGCGGAAGAAAAUGGCUUUUAUAUGCCUUGGGUCGAAGCGACCUUUUAAGUGUGUGGCCCUGAGGCUCGUUUUGCUGGCGGCAAUGGCGCUUACGAUGUGCCCUUAGGCAUGUGUAGUUAACUAUUUUCGAUUCGGUCUCCAAAUCGGGUUAUGACUCGAGCUCAUUUUAAUCCUCAAGUUUUCAAUUUUUCAAGUUGGCGACAGUGGCUCUUACGCUGUUGGUCGUUGCAACCUUUUAGUGUGCGGCCCGGAGGCUCGUUUGGCUGGCAAAAAUGGCUCUUACACUUUUGCCCGUGGGCAUAUUGUAGGCUUUGUUUUCCUCUCAUUAAGGUCUUUUUAAAAUAAUUUUGCCUAACCCGUCGUCGAUUCAAGAAGAACCUCGUUUUCAAGUCGUUAGCGGCGAUGUUCCAGCACCUCGGAAGGUUUAGCUCGUAGGCUGAGUAGCUCGAAGCCUCGUGAUUUGGAGUUGACAUGGUUGAAGCUCGUUUUCCUAUUGAAGGUAGCCCAUUUUAACCGGCUCUUUUCGAAGUAGAUUCGAAGUAAUGGCCUGCGAGUUUGUUAGCGACGGUCUGUCAUCCCCGAGUCGCGUUAAUUUGGCUGGUGCAGCCGUUUUGACCGUAGUCAUAUGUGUUUGGACGGGGCCAUUUUUGAUCUCGAGUAAUAGUUUAGGCGUCUACAUCGAGGGUAUGCCCUUUCGGGAGUCUUACAAAUGCGACAUGUAGCCUAAACUUCGGGAUUGAGUCUUACAAAAUUUUCAUGCCUGUUGAGGUCUUACAGUUUUGUCAUGCCUGUUGAGGUCUUACAGUUUGUCAUGCCUGUUGAGGUCUUACAAAAUUUUCAUGCCUGUUGAGGUCUUAUAGUUUUUGUUGCUAUAUAAAAUAGAUCUGGCUUAGACCAAGUCUACCCGCUCGAGGACUUACGGCCUCGGGUUUUCCAGCGUAUGGUGAUUGGCGACAGUCUCCAAGUCAUCGAGUUUGCUUAGGCUCAAAGGCCGUUACUUGUGAGCUCGGAAUUGCCUCGUUGGGGCCUUAUGGGCUCGGAAUUCUGAACCUGAGGUCGUGCGGGUGCCGCAUUGUUGACGCUAAGUCUCCGAGUAUUUCGGGACGUAUCCAGUGGAGGGAAUCCUUGCCGUGAGCAUGCCGAAAUUUUCUCUUUUGGAGUACGAGAUGUUGAAAUAUAUUCUUUAAUUACUUGGCAUAAAUACAUGUUGUUUGGUUGUCGUGAGCUCGGCCCGUGCGGGCACGGUUCCUUUGACUGUUUGGCCCGGUACAUGAUUUCUCACUGGGACCUCAUUUGUCCUUUCCCGGUACAGGGUUGAUCGCGAAAAAAGUCCGGUAGGCUUAUUGAAUCCUCCUUAGGAGGCGCGUUGCUCUGUUAAGAACCUUGCUGAUGAGACCCUCUUCGGGGCGGAAGUUCGGCCGAGCGGAAAGAGUGCGACAUGUGUCGUUAAGGCCUUGGGAUCUUCAGGUAGAGUUAGCACUUCCGAGUGCCUUGGCCGGGUGUCUGCAUACAGGUUAGUGCAAAAUAACAAAGGGGGGGAGGUAGUUUUACUUUACCGCGGGAUGCGCAGGCGACGCUCUGGGGUUCGAUAUGUCCUGCUAUUCUGGAGCGAGGACUCUAGUGAAACCCUCUGCUGUGUUUAAUCGAGCAUGGCCGAAUAUGUGGUUCUCUUACCCUUUGACUCUUUCGAGAGUGGAGAUAUCGAUACCGGCGCCACGUUUCGUAAUGCAAACAUUUUUGUUGUUGCGUGUCGUUCCCCACAGACGGUUUCAAUUCCAUCCUCCAUUGGGGGUUUCAUUCUUUGGCGAAGAGGGGGAGGUACCACUUUCAUGCGGUGUAUCCGCGACCGCCUGAAUAAGGCGUUCAUUCAUUGCGCCUCUUUUGACGAUAUGGGAUUUGGCGUUCCGGUCUACGCUAGCCACACUGACUGAGAGAGUGGUCUUUCUCCUUGUCGUAGUGAUAGCCAUUUGGAAUCCGUCAAAGAUUCAAGAGGUGGUAGUGUUUUGACCCGGCAGACCGAACCGCCCUAUUAUCCUCGGCCCGACAACAUUGAUCGAGCCAUCUGAACUUAUGAACACAUGUUUUAUUUAAAAUGGAUUGAGUGAGGAAGAAGGUUACUAGUGUGUCAGUGUGAGGCCGAGACAAGGUCUUGGUGCCCUCUUUGCUGAUUGUGAGGGUGUCCCCGGGGAUAUGUCCCUAGAUCCGCCUUUCUCUGGCGGCGAGCAUUUGUGCUCUCCCUUUUAUGAGUUCUUUAAAAGUGUCGUUGCUCCUCCACUAUCGUGGAAAAAUGCUUCGGCCCAUUUGCUUCGUUCUUCCUGGCCGCCUUCCCUACUCGGGGCUGAACCUGAAUUCAGUCACUCGUCAGUUCUCAACGGUGGUUUUUGUUGAGUGACUUGGCUCUUUUCCUCCGGAGCUGGUGGCUAUCCCCGGCUUUGCGUUCGCAUUUGUUAUGUAGUUCACAUACCCAGCUUUGAUUCCUCUGAGAGGGGUUCUGCUGAAUAGGUCUGGGUCAUCUGGUGUCCCUGGUUUUGCUGACGAUGAACACGUAUGUUUGAUACAGCGAUGUUGAAAUUGUAUCUUGAUGGGCGAGGCACCCUCGCUGGCCUCGUGUCCCCGUCAAAUCUGGUUCUAUUAACGAUACCUCAAUGAUAUUGUCCUCGAUCCAUUCUCCAAUCGUUGUGAGGUAGAUUGCGCCUUGGGGCGUUUCUCCCGCCUGCGACGUACGGGUGGUACCUCUCUCUGUUUGGCAUUGGUUUCUUUUCUAGAAGCCUGUUUGGGUAUGCUGAGCCCGAGGGGACUCCUGGAUAGUCAUCCACGGCCCUGGUUUGCAACUGGUGCCGGAUAUAGGCAUCCGACUAGAUCUUGGCUGGGUACCCGAGCAAGUUUUGUUUUAACUGCCUCGGGAUCGUCGGGCUUGGUUUGUUUAGGCUUUGAGUGAAGACAUGUAUUGCCCUAUCAUCCGAGACCGGGGGUAGUCCCAUUUGCUCCAUCUGGGAAUGAGAUGCGAAUUCUCGCAGCAUUUCGUUAUUCCUUUGCUUGGUCCCGGAUGUGUUGGGUCUUCUCGCCGUUGCUUUGAUGGCACCGGCGUGUGCCUUUAUGGAGGAAUCUGCCGAUAUGGUAAGUGAGUUUAUGGGGUUGUGUGCUAGGUUAUGAUGCCAUAUCAUGGCCCCUUCCGAGAGUGUUUCCCCAAACCUUUUCAAUAAGACGGACCUGAUCUUAUCGUCCUUUAGGUCAUCGAUUUUUACCGCGCACGUAUAGGCAGUGAUGUGUUCGUUGGGAUCUGAGGUCCCAUUGUACUUAGGGAGUUCAGGCAUUCUGAAUUCCUUUGGAGUGGGUUCCUGGGCCGCUUCGUCGGGGAAUGGCCGUUGCACGAGCUUCCCCGAAUCUACACCCUUCAGGGCCGGGGCGCACUCGGGAUUUGAUCGACUCUGAAGUUAUAGGUUUCGACCUUCUUAUCAUUGGCUGCUAUCAUUUUCUCGCCUGACUUGAUCCUUUCUGUGAGGUCCUCCAGCAUUUUCGCGAUGGCGGGAUCGGCUACCGAUCCGUUAUUGCUCGAUCUCUCGGGUACAUGUUCGACUGGGGGAGCUGUUUCCGGCACUGCUAUGCUGGGAGUGUUUGGAUGGCUUUGUAACUGAGCGAUGGCCAACUGUUGUGCCUGGAACAUUUCAAAAAUAACAUGAAGACUAACUUCAUGUUCUUCCCGGGCUGGGGUUCUUUGGGCUUCCUAUCGGUCGUUAUAUCGUAUGCUCCUAUCAGUGUGCUAGGUUUCGUCGACCUGUUGUGCGUCCUGUGAAUCUACGUCCACUAGAAUCGGUCCGGGCGUCUUACCGGGAUUCUGUGGUGGCGCGUCGACAGCCGAAAUAGCCACACUGUUUUCCCCGUGGUUUUCGAGGUUGUCGUUCUCGACUCUAUUUACCGAGCCAGACAUUUUGACCUGAAAUCAAAGAUCUUGAACAAGAAAAGACGUGAAAGAUAACUUGUGUUUGUGUAAUGAAACUAGCAAGAAAAUAAUCACUAUUUUUUUAGCCCCACGGUGGGCGCCAAACUGUUUACCGUGAAAAUGGUAAUGACAAUUAAAUUUGUAAAAUGGGAUUCUAAAAAUACGUGAUCUAUUUUUAUGCUAGUUGUUAGAGUAGCUGAUGCUAAGAGUAUGAAGUUUUGACGAUGAGAUACGAGCUAAAACAGGGCAAUAAUCAAACCGAGGGGCUUGCUGCCCGAGAUUCAGACGGGCCGAUGAAGGACCUCGGGGUCGAUAUCUGACUCGAGCUCGAUCUAUCGAGGGUAAUCGGGAAGGGAUAACAGUUAAAAUAUGAUCAAAGGAGACUCUUUAUGGCCAAGACCAAACAUUAAAUGAAGAAUAAGUAUGAAAGCAAUAAAUGCAAAGAGUAGCCUCGAGUGAGUAAGAGUGAAUAAGUUAGAGAGAAGAAAGAGAGAUAUUAUUGAUCUUGGAUAGGAUAGUUGGAGUAACAGCAGCCCCUUACAAAGUAGUGUGGGUUCCCUUUAUAUAGGAGGGGGAAUCCGGUCAUAGUACAACAUACAUUAAUUGUAGGAGUAUGGAGAUGGGAUGACUAGAUGUGACGCCUUAACACAGGCUCUGGGUAGGCUGGCUCUAUCAGACUUAGCUGCGUGCCUAGGGAACUCCCCUUUUUGUUCCAGCCUCGAUCUUCGUCUUCUUUGAGUCGGGCCUCGACGAGCCCUGAAGGAGGGGACUUGGUCGCAACUCUACGUCCUCAGGGUCUCGAGGUAUUCUUCCGAAGUAGCUUGAUAGCGAGAAAUUAAGCCCUCUGAUUUCGCCGCAUACAAUAAUCAAAUCGAGGGGCUAGCUAUUUGGGCCUCGGACUGACCGAUGAGGGGCCUCGAGGUCGAUGUCUGGGCUCGGGCUCGAGCUAUCAGGGGUAAUCGGGAAAAGGCUAAUAGUUAGGAUAUAAUCAAGGGAGGCUCUAUAUGGCCAAUAACAAGCAAUAAAUGAAGAACAAAUAUGAGAAUAAUAAGUAAUAGCGAUAGGAAAAUAUGUUAGAGAGAAAAGAGAGAUAGUUGUUAUAUUUCGUGUAGAGUAGUUGGAGCAACAACAACCCCUUACAAAGUGAUGAGGAUCCCCUUUAUAUAGGAGGGAGAAUCCAACAUAGUACAAAUAUGCAUUAAUUGUAAAGGUUUGGAGAUGGGACGGCUAGAUGCGACACCUUGAUACAGGCUUCGGGCAGACCGACUUUGUCAGACUUAGCAGUGUGCCUUGGGAAUCCCCUAUUUUACUCUAGCCUCGAUCAAUAUUCUCUUCGGGUCGGACAUUGACGAGUUUCGAAGGAGGGAACUCGGUCACAACUUCGGGUCCUCGAGGCCUCGAGGUGUUCUUCCGAAGUGACUUAACAACAAGAAAUUGGACCCUCUAAUUUCGUCGCAUACACUAAUUAUACCAAAAUUACUCAACUAAAUUACAAUAGACUAAUAAGGGAAAUUGCAAUUGAACAAUAAUGGAAACCAACUGAUAGAGAGAAGACAAAAGGAGAUGAAACAGAGUGAGAUGAGAGAAUAGAAAGCUCAACAUAGCAAUAGCUUACUCUACCACACUUUCUAUUAGUUAUUUAUAAUAUAUUGCAAUCUUCAAACACUAUGCAUUUAUAAUAUGUUUUUUCGCAACUGGUGGUUUGAACUUGUGGAAGAUGAGACGUAGUAGUUGAUAUCGACAAAAGAAACGUUCUUUAAGAUUGCAACAUCAGAUUACACAUGAGGUCAUUCUCUUAGCUCACAAACAUCUUAUUUUAUCAAUCUCAAUAUCUCUUAGCUAGUUUUAAUUGAAUUAGAAGACAAUGUUAAACCCAAAUAUAAUUCAAUAAAAGUUGUUUGGCAAUACCUUUAUGGGCGAUUAAUUUAUGAAAUUUAACUCUAAUGCUUCAUCAAUCUUAAUAUUUGGUGUUUGUUCUUAUUGUUUUGAGAAUAUAUUGGUUGUUUUGAGAAUAUAUUGGUUGUAAGGCAAUUGCAUCUUACUUAAACUUCACGAAGUAAAUAAUAGAAAGGAAAGAGGUUGGGUGUAGUUAAAAAUAUUGUAAGAAGGACAAUUGCAUCUUACUCUAACUAAAAGAAGUUAUUAUCUUCAGAUAUUUGUUCACUUUGGCCAUUGAAAAUGGAUCUCUGUCUUUACAUUGGAGGAACAUAAUUAUUCUUAUCAUUUUGUUGCAGUUCUGUUAUGGGUAUAAUUUAUCUAUUGGAUAGUUCAAUUCUAAUGAUUCAUCCUUGUUAAAGCUAAUAGCCCCAGUAUAAUUAUCUCACAUAGUAGCCUAGCCCCUGUGCCUAAUUUGAUAAGGUAUCUAUUAUGACCCUGAGAUGGGUUGUGAAUGGAACUUUCAUGACGUUCUUUUUUUGGUCAAGCUUUGGAGGAAAUAUCAAUAUAUAUGGCAUGUAAAUAAAAUUUUCUUAUUGUAAUUCUCAGCAUCUACUUUGAUCUUUUUCAAAUAAAUAGUUCUUAAGGAACAUCUUCAUUGGAGUUCUUAGGUUAUGACUAAUGUUAGCUCUAGACUAAUUAUUUUAUUUGAACAAAAACAUAUAUGGAGAAUGGUUAGUGGUUUGAGCUUCAUCCUCCAGAUUGUAUAAUGCCUUUUGUCUUGGGCUCUUAGUUAUGUAAUUUGCUCAAUAUCUAGUUCUCAAAAUUAUUGAUUAUAAGGCUAAUAAUAGUUUUACUCUUUUCUUUAUUCAUAUUCUUGAACGGCAAAUGAAGAAGUCUUUCCUCCUUGAAUUGUUUGAGUUGUUAGUCACUAUCAUUGGCCAUGAGGUUGCGCUUUAGUAAACUUUUUUAUACGAUAUUUUUGUUGGUUUAUAAUUUAUGUGUUGAGCACAAACUGAUUUUCAUGAUCUAAACUAUAUUUAAUUACUUCCAGAUUGUCUCACUGGAGGAAAUACGGUUCACUGUAUAUUGGUUAAAGGUAUGUACAUUAUUGAAACUUGUAAAAGUAUUGCUACUCGUAUAAUGUGUUUUGUAAAUAUGGAUAGGUUAUUUUACAUUAAUCUAUAUUUGAAAAGGUGAAAUUGGACUAUAUAUGUAAAUGAUAUGCUUUAUUUUAAGGAGAAGAAAGUAUGCAAUAUUCAAGUGUUCCUCUCAUUGUUGUUAUCUUUCAAAUACAUAAUAUGAUCUUCAUAAUUUUCUAAAGGAAAAUUUACUUUUUAUUUUUUAGAGGGUUUGAAGAGUUGAACUUACAAGUCAAGAUGCAAGUUUUGAAGACUUCAUGCAAUAUUGUUUCACUUGCAAGGGUAGUUAGGAAAGCAGUUAUUUUUGCUAAAAGAUUGUGUAAAGAGCACGGUGACAUAUGGUUCAUGGUUAUACAAUUACCAAUGGGAUGUAAUACGCUUUUUUGUAAUUCAUAACCAAUUUAUACAUGUACAUUUGUAUAUUUGUAUAUGAAAGCAUGAUUUUAUUGAUAUUUUUGUUACGUGCAUGUGAUUUUAUAUACUAAAAAUAAUAUAAUUUAUAAAUAAAAUAUGACUGGAAA